GAGUUUAUACAAAUCAGUUGCCACAUUUUGAGCUUCUCUCGAUCAACACUUGUUCUGCAGCACCAUUGAAUUGAUACAUCUCUCAAAAGGAAACCCUAAUUGGAAUUUACAGAGAGCGAAGCCGAGACACCUAACUGGAGUCCAUAGAGGGUAGAGAAGAGAGAAAAGAGAGAAGCUUUAGAGAGAGUAAGAGAGAUUAGAGCGAAAUGGGAGAGGGAAGAGAAGGAGAC
This 230-nucleotide long non-coding RNA is filed under the name Amborella trichopoda. Its description in RNAcentral is "long non-coding RNA (ATRI_LNC000533)". The record is from RNAcentral. Lineage: Eukaryota; Viridiplantae; Streptophyta; Magnoliopsida; Amborellales; Amborellaceae.